AGAAUCAACGCUGGCGGCGUGCCUAACACAUGCAAGUCGCACGAGAAAGUGGAGCAAUCCACGAGUAAAGUGGCGCACGGGUGAGUAACACGUGAAUAAUCUACCUCCGAGUGGGGAAUAACUGAGAGAAAUCUUAGCUAAUACCGCAUAAUACCCACGGGUCAAAGCAGCAAUGCGCUUGGAGAGGAGUUCGCGGCCGAUUAGCUAGUUGGCGGGGUAAUGGCCACCAAGGCGAUGAUCGGUAUCCGGCCUGAGAGGGCGCACGGACACACUGGAACUGAAACACGGUCCAGACUCCUACGGGAGGCAGCAGUGGGGAAUUUUGCGCAAUGGGGGAAACCCUGACGCAGCAACGCCGCGUGGAGGAUGAAAUCCCUUGGGAUGUAAACUCCUUUCGAUAGGGAAGAUAAUGACGGUACCUAUAGAAGAAGCCCCGGCUAACUUCGCGCCAGCAGCCGC
Molecule: ribosomal RNA, 459 nt
Filed under: uncultured bacterium
Lineage: Bacteria
Description: SSU rRNA
Rfam family: Bacterial small subunit ribosomal RNA
Source: RNAcentral